CCUACGGGAGGCAGCAGUGAGGAAUAUUGGUCAAUGGGCGCGAGCCUGAACCAGCCAAGUCGCGUGAGGGAGGACGGCCCUACGGGUUGUAAACCUCUUUUGCCGGGGAGCAACGGGCGUCACGUGUGGCGCCACUGAGAGUACCCGGAGAAAAAGCAUCGGCUAACUCCGUGCCAGCAGCCGCGGUCAUACGGGGGAUGCGAGCGUUAUCCGGAUUUAUUGGGUUUAAAGGGUGCGUAGGCGGGUCGUUAAGUCAGGGGUCAAAUUGAGGGGCUCAACCCCUUCCCGCCAUUGAAACUGGCGUUCUUGAGUGGAAGAGAAGUAUGCGGAAUGCGUGGUGUAGCGGUGAAAUGCAUAGAUAUCACGCAGAACCCCGAUUGCGAAGGCAGCAUGCCGGCUUCCGACUGACGCUGAAGCACGAAAGCGUGGGGAUCGAACAGGAUUAGAUACCCCAGUAGUC
This 460-nucleotide ribosomal RNA is filed under the name uncultured bacterium. RNAcentral's name for it is "partial 16S ribosomal RNA". It matches the Rfam family "Bacterial small subunit ribosomal RNA", at positions 338 to 795 of the family's 1533-position model. The record is from RNAcentral.